This 642-nucleotide ribosomal RNA is filed under the name uncultured Anaplasma sp. RNAcentral's name for it is "bacterial SSU rRNA". It matches the Rfam family "Bacterial small subunit ribosomal RNA", at positions 815 to 1456 of the family's 1533-position model. The record is from RNAcentral. Lineage: Bacteria; Pseudomonadati; Pseudomonadota; Alphaproteobacteria; Rickettsiales; Anaplasmataceae.
GCUGAAUGUGGGGAUAAUUUAUCUCCGUGUUGAAGCUAACGCGUUAGCACUCCGCCUGGGGACUACGGUCGCAAGACUAAAACUCAAAGGAAUUGACGGGGACCCGCACAAGCGGUGGAGCAUGUGGUUUAAUUCGAUGCAACGCGAAAAACCUUACCACUCCUUGACAUGGAGAUUAGAUCCUUCUUAACGGAAGGGCGCAGUUCGGCUGGGUCUCGCACAGGUGCUGCAUGGCUGUCGUCAGCUCGUGUCGUGAGAUGUUGGGUUAAGUCCCGCAACGAGCGUAACCCUCAUCCUUAGUUGCCAGCGGAUAAUGCCGGGUACUUUAAGGAAACUGCCGGUGGUAAACCGGAGGAAGGUGGGGAUGAUGUCAAGUCAGCACGGCCCUUAUGGGGUGGGCUACACACGUGCUACAAUGGUGACUACAAUAGGUUGCAACGCCGCAAGGCUGAGCUAAUCCAUAAAAGUCAUCUCAGUUCGGAUUGUCCUCUGUAACUCGAGGGCAUGAAGUCGGAAUCGCUAGUAAUCGUGGAUCAGCAUGCCACGGUGAAUACGUUCUCGGGUCUUGUACACACUGCCCGUCACGCCAUGGGAAUUGGCUUAACUCGAAGCUGGUGCGCUAACCGAAAGGAAGGCAGCCAU